RNAcentral lists this ribosomal RNA (494 nucleotides) under uncultured bacterium. Its description in RNAcentral is "partial 16S ribosomal RNA". It matches the Rfam family "Bacterial small subunit ribosomal RNA", at positions 28 to 507 of the family's 1533-position model. The record is from RNAcentral.
GACGAACGCUGGCGGCGUGCUUAACACAUGCAAGUCGAACGGAAAGGCCUGCUUUCCCUUGUGGAUUGCGGGUACUCGAGUGGCGAACGGGUGAGUAACACGUGAGUGAUCUGCCCCCAACUUGGGUAUAAGCCUGGGAAACUGGGUCUAAUUCCCGAUAGGACUGCAGGGUGGUGCCUGUGGUGGAAAACGAUUUUCUAGUGGUUGGGGAUGAGUUGGCGGCCUAUCAGCUUGUUGGUGGGGUAAUGGCCUACGAAGGCGGCGACGGGUAGCCGGCAUGAGAGGGAGGACGGUCACAUUGAGGCUGGGUAACGGCCCAGACUCCUCCGGGAGACAGCAGUGGGGAAUAUUGCGCAACGGGCGGAGGCCUGAUGCAGCGACGCCACGUGGGCGAUGACGGCCUUCGGGUUGUAAACUCCUUUCGACCGCGAGGAAGCCACCUGGCUGGAAGGGUGGUGACGGUAGUGGUAGAAGAAGCACCGGCUAACUACGUG